This 481-nucleotide ribosomal RNA is filed under the name Staphylococcus aureus. RNAcentral describes it as "bacterial SSU rRNA". It matches the Rfam family "Bacterial small subunit ribosomal RNA", at positions 1 to 478 of the family's 1533-position model. Lineage: Bacteria; Bacillati; Bacillota; Bacilli; Caryophanales; Staphylococcaceae. The record is from RNAcentral.
UUUUAUGGAGAGUUUGAUCCUGGCUCAGGAUGAACGCUGGCGGCGUGCCUAAUACAUGCAAGUCGAGCGAACGGACGAGAAGCUUGCUUCUCUGAUGUUAGCGGCGGACGGGUGAGUAACACGUGGAUAACCUACCUAUAAGACUGGGAUAACUUCGGGAAACCGGAGCUAAUACCGGAUAAUAUUUUGAACCGCAUGGUUCAAAAGUGAAAGACGGUCUUGCUGUCACUUAUAGAUGGAUCCGCGCUGCAUUAGCUAGUUGGUAAGGUAACGGCUUACCAAGGCAACGAUGCAUAGCCGACCUGAGAGGGUGAUCGGCCACACUGGAACUGAGACACGGUCCAGACUCCUACGGGAGGCAGCAGUAGGGAAUCUUCCGCAAUGGGCGAAAGCCUGACGGAGCAACGCCGCGUGAGUGAUGAAGGUCUUCGGAUCGUAAAACUCUGUUAUUAGGGAAGAACAUAUGUGUAAGUAACUGUGC